Molecule: ribosomal RNA, 116 nt
Filed under: Aspidontus dussumieri (lance blenny)
Lineage: Eukaryota; Metazoa; Chordata; Actinopteri; Blenniiformes; Blenniidae
Description: partial 16S rRNA
Source: RNAcentral
UGCUUAUUAGCUAGCUCACGUAUUAGAUUAACGUCAAAUUAUGCAUACAUGAUUAUGAAACACUAAUUUUAAACCAAAACAUUUUACCCUUAUAGUAUAGGCGAUAGAAAUAAACA